AGAGUUUGAUCGUGGCUCAGAACGAACGCUGGUGGUAUGCCUAAUACAUGCAAGUCGAACGAGAAAGUCCUUCGGGGCGAGUACAGUGGCGCACGGGUGAGUAACGCGUAGAUGAUAUGCCUUUUAGUGGGGGACAACAGUUGGAAACGACUGCUAAUACCGCAUAAGCUUAGUGACAUUGAAAAAACUAAGGAAAGGGGGCUUCGGCUCUCGCUAAGAGAUUGGUCUGCGUGACAUUAGCUUGUUGGUGGGGUAAUGGCCUACCAAGGCAACGAUGUCUAGCUGGUCUGAGAGGAUGAUCAGUCACACUGGAACUGAGACGCGGUCCAGACUCCUACGGGAGGCAGCAGUAGGGAAUAUUGCACAAUGGGGGAAACCCUGAUGCAGCAAUACCACGUGAGUGAGGAAGGCCUUCGGGUUGUAAAACUCUGUCCUAUAGGAAGAACGGCUUUACGGUUAAUACCCGUAUUGUUUGACGGUACUAUAGAAGAAAGCACCGGCUAACUCCGUGCCAGCAGCCGCGGUAAUACGGAGGGUGCAAGCGUUGUUCGGAUUUAUUGGGCGUAAAGCGCGCGCAGGCGGACUAGCAAGUCAGAUGUGAAAUCUCGGGGCUCAA
Molecule: ribosomal RNA, 616 nt
Filed under: uncultured bacterium
Lineage: Bacteria
Description: bacterial SSU rRNA
Rfam family: Bacterial small subunit ribosomal RNA
Source: RNAcentral